CGGUAGCAGAGAAGCUUGCAUUCUCUUGAGAGCGUCGGACGGGUGAGUAAAGCCUAGGAAUCUGCCUGAUAGUGGGGGAUAACGUUCGGAAACGGACGCUAAUACCGCAUACGUCCUACGGGAGAAAGCAGGGGACCUUCGGGCCUUGCGCUAUCAGAUGGGCCUAGGUCGGAUUAGCUAGUUGGUGAGGUAAUGGCUCACCAAGGCGACGAUCCGUAACUGGUCUGAGAGGAUGAUCAGUCACACUGGAACUGAGACACGGUCCAGACUCCUACGGGAGGCAGCAGUGGGGAAUAUUGGACAAUGGGCGAAAGCCUGAUCCAGCCAUGCCGCGUGUGUG
Molecule: ribosomal RNA, 340 nt
Filed under: uncultured Pseudomonas sp.
Lineage: Bacteria; Pseudomonadati; Pseudomonadota; Gammaproteobacteria; Pseudomonadales; Pseudomonadaceae
Description: bacterial SSU rRNA
Rfam family: Bacterial small subunit ribosomal RNA
Source: RNAcentral